CCUUACUGUGUUGCCCAGGCUGGUCUCAAACUUCUAGGCUCAAUUGAUACUCCUACUUCAGCCUUCUGAAUAGCUAGGCUUACAGGAACACAACACUGCAGCAGCUUAGAUGGUCAAAUGGUCUUCAACAAGGGUGCCAAUACCACUCAAUGGGAAAAGAACAGUCUCUUCCACAAAUGGUUAGAGGAAACACUUUCAGUCCCAUCCAGUUAGGAAAACUGUAUAUCUACAUGCAAAAGAAUGAAGUUGAACACUUAUCUUACAGAAUGUACAAAAAUUAACUUUAAAAUGGAUUAAAGACAUAAGCAUAAGACCUAAAACUAUAAAAUUCCUAGAAGAAAACAAGGGAAAAGCUGUAUGGCAUUGGACUUGGUGAUGAUAUCAUUGAUAUGACACCAAAAGCAUACACGGCAAAAGCAAAAUUAAACUAAUAGGACUAUAUAAAACUUAAAAUAUUUUGUGCAGCAAUGGACACAAUCAGCCAGGUGUGGUAGCACUUGUCUAUAGUCCCAACUACUCGGGAGGCUGAGGCAAAAGGCUGAGGCAGGAAGAUCAGCCUGUAGUGAAUUAUGCCAAUCAAGUGUCCACACUAAGUUCAGCAUUAAUCUGGUGAACUCCUGGGAGCAGGGUAUCACCAGGUUACCUAAAAAAGAGGGAACUUGCCCAACUUGGAAAUGAAGCAUGUCAAAACUCCCAUCCUGAUCAGUAGUGGGAUUGUGCCUGCAUAUAGCCACUGCACUCCAACCUAGGCAACACAGCAAGACCUGGUCCAUUGCAAAAUAAACAAAAAAGACACAAUCAACAGGUGGAAAGGCAACCUACAGAAUGGGAGAAUAGGAUAAAUUAUUCGUGAACCAUAUAUCCGAUUAGGGGUUAAUAUCCAGAAUAUAUAAAAAAACUCACUCCUACAACUUAAUAAAAAAGUCAAAUAACCUGAUUUAAAACAGGCAAAAAAACUUGAAUAAAUGUAUCUCCAAAGAUGACAUACAAAUGGCCAACAAGCAUAUGAGAAGAUGCUCAACAUCAGUAAUCAUCAGAAAAAUGCAAAUCAAAACCACAAUGAGAUAUUACCUCACACUGCUUAGAAUAGCUAUUAUCAAAAAGACAAAAGAUACCAAGUGUUGACAAGGAUGUGGAAAAAUUGGUAUCCUUGUUCACUGUUAGUGGGAUUGUAAAAUGAUGCAAUUGCUAUGGUAAACAGUAUGGAGUUUCCCCAUAAAAUCAUAAAUACAAGUACCAUAUGAUCCAGCAAUCCAACUUCUAGGUAUACACUCAAAAAAAUUCAAAGAAGAAUCUCAAAAAGAUAUUUGCAUACCCAUGUUUAUAGCAGCACUAUUCAUAGUAGCUGAGUUAGAAGCAGUCCAAAUGUCCAUCAAGGGAUGAAUAGAUAAACAAAACAUGAUAUAUAUCUAGAAUAGAAUAUUACUCAGCCUAAGAAAG
This 1440-nucleotide long non-coding RNA is filed under the name Homo sapiens (human). Its description in RNAcentral is "HSALNT0284543". The stretch from base 481 to 774 matches the Rfam family "Metazoan signal recognition particle RNA". Lineage: Eukaryota; Metazoa; Chordata; Mammalia; Primates; Hominidae. The record is from RNAcentral.